RNAcentral lists this unclassified non-coding RNA (20 nucleotides) under Chlamydomonas reinhardtii. RNAcentral's name for it is "small RNA Cre_2421". The record is from RNAcentral. Lineage: Eukaryota; Viridiplantae; Chlorophyta; Chlorophyceae; Chlamydomonadales; Chlamydomonadaceae.
UAUUGCUUGAGGCUAGGUUU